This is a long non-coding RNA of Solanum stenotomum, 582 nucleotides long. RefSeq lists it as uncharacterized. Lineage: Eukaryota; Viridiplantae; Streptophyta; Magnoliopsida; Solanales; Solanaceae. The transcript has 3 exons. The record is from RefSeq and is a predicted model, not a curated record.
GCCUGUUUUACUACCUCCAAUGAGAACUUCUUAAAACACUCAUCUGGAACUUCUUUUUUGAAAGCAUGUUGAUUGAACAAUUGCAUAGCUUCAUGAUCAGGUAGCGUAGGCACUUCGUAUAUUGCAGCAUCCUUCUCUAUCAAUUGUCUGUUUCUAGUUGUUACAAUGCUACUGCAAAGCUCUCACUUUGGUUUCGAACAUGUGAUGGAUCCACAUCAUAGAAGAUCGGUAUGAUUGUUUGUCUAUUUUCUUCCUCCUUGCAUUCCAUGAUCUUCACUAGUUCAUUCAUGCACCACCUCGAUGUAGCAUAGUUCCUUCAGAAAACGAUGAGUGCAACUUGAGACUCUUCGAUAGCUUUCAAGAGUUCUUGUGAGAUGGAAUCGCCUUGCUCUAGCCUUUUAUCAUCUUGAAAGGUGAAUAUUCCCCUGUUUUUCAAACCUUCGUACAAGUGACCCGUAAAUGUUCUCCGAGUGUCGACAACUCUAAAACUUAAAAAGAUAUCAUACUUUCAUAGCGGACGGUAUUGUGAAUCACUCGCAAAAGAAGAAGAAGAAGAUGCCAUGGAUGUCUGAGAAGAAAAUA